UGGGGAAUAUUGGGCAAUGGGCGCAAGCCUGACCCAGCAACGCCGCGUGAAGGAAGAAGGCCCUCGGGUUGUAAACUUCUUUUAUAAAGGACGAAACAAAUGACGGUACUUUAUGAAUAAGCCACGGCUAACUACGUGCCAGCAGCCGCGGUAAUACGUAGGUGGCAAGCGUUAUCCGGAUUUACUGGGUGUAAAGGGCGUGUAGGCGGGACUGCAAGUCAGAUGUGAAAUUCCAGGGCUCAACUCUGGACCUGCAUUUGAAACUGUAGUUCUUGAGUGAUGGAGAGGCAGGCGGAAUUCCGUGUGUAGCGGUGAAAUGCGUAGAUAUACGGAGGAACACCAGUGGCGAAGGCGGCCUGCUGGACAUUAACUGACGCUGAGGCGCGAAAGCGUGGGGAGCAAACAGG
This 407-nucleotide ribosomal RNA is filed under the name uncultured prokaryote. RNAcentral describes it as "bacterial SSU rRNA". It matches the Rfam family "Bacterial small subunit ribosomal RNA", at positions 355 to 776 of the family's 1533-position model. The record is from RNAcentral. RNAcentral also lists the same sequence under 1 other name.